Molecule: ribosomal RNA, 372 nt
Filed under: uncultured organism
Description: partial 16S ribosomal RNA
Rfam family: Bacterial small subunit ribosomal RNA
Source: RNAcentral
GUAGGUGGCAAGCGUUGUCCGGAAUUAUUGGGCGUAAAGCGCGCGCAGGUGGUUCUUUAAGUCUGAUGUGAAAGCCCCCGGCUCAACCGGGGAGGGUCAUUGGAAACUGGGGAACUUGAGUGCAGGAGAGGAAAGUGGAAUUCCACGUGUAGCGGUGAAGUGCGUAGAUAUGUGGAGGAACACCAGUGGCGAAGGCGACUUUCUGGCCUGUAACUGACACUGAGGCGCGAAAGCGUGGGGAGCAAACAGGAUUAGAUACCCUGGUAGUCCACGCCGUAAACGAUGAGUGCUAAGUGCUGGGGGGGUCUCCGCCCCCUCAGUGCUGCAGCUAACGCAUUAAGCACUCCGCCUGGGAGUACGGUCGCAAGACUG